This 190-nucleotide ribosomal RNA is filed under the name Staphylococcus aureus. RNAcentral describes it as "partial 16S ribosomal RNA". It matches the Rfam family "Bacterial small subunit ribosomal RNA", at positions 1 to 185 of the family's 1533-position model. Lineage: Bacteria; Bacillati; Bacillota; Bacilli; Caryophanales; Staphylococcaceae. The record is from RNAcentral.
UUUAUGGAGAGUUUGAUCCUGGCUCAGGAUGAACGCUGGCGGCGUGCCUAAUACAUGCAAGUCGAGCGAACGGAUGAGAAGCUUGCUUCUCUGAUGUUAGCGGCGGACGGGUGAGUAACACGUGGAUAACCUACCUAUAAGACUGGGAUAACUUCGGGAAACCGGAGCUAAUACCGGAUAAUAUUUUGAA